UGGGGGAUAUUGCACAAUGGGCGAAAGCCUGAUGCAGCGACGCCGCGUGGGGGAUGAAGGCUUUCGGGUUGUAAACCUCUUUCGCUAUCGAACAAGGCCCGCUUAGGGUGGGUUGAGGGUAGGUGGAGAAGAAGCGCCGGCUAACUACGUGCCAGCAGCCGCGGUAAUACGUAGGGCGCGGGCGUUGUCCGGAAUUAUCGGGCGUAAAGGGCUUGUAGGCGGCUUGUUGCGCCUGCUGUGAAAACGCGGGGCUUAACUUCGCGCGUGCAGUGGGUACGGGCAGGCUUGAGUGUGGUAGGGGUGACUGGAAUUCCAGGUGUAGCGGUGGAAUGCGCAGAUAUCUGGAGGAACACCGAUGGCGAAGGCAGGUCACUGGGCCAUUACUGACGCUGAGGAGCGAAAGCAUGGGUAGCGAACAGG
Molecule: ribosomal RNA, 420 nt
Filed under: bacterium
Lineage: Bacteria
Description: partial 16S ribosomal RNA
Rfam family: Bacterial small subunit ribosomal RNA
Source: RNAcentral